UGAGGUGAAAGGAAGAGACAAAGACAGA
RNAcentral lists this non-coding RNA (28 nucleotides) under Homo sapiens (human). The record is from RNAcentral. Lineage: Eukaryota; Metazoa; Chordata; Mammalia; Primates; Hominidae.